GAAAGCGUCAACGCGCCUGAAAGUGAAGCGGUCACGACAACUCCAAAUUGGAGUGGCUCGAUAUUCAGUUAGUCGGUCGAUGGCCGACGCGCGCACUGUUAACUGUUGUUUGUAAUUGAGAGUUUUAAAUUAAUUAUGCCGACUUGUGUCGUUCCCACUUGCAAAAAUGCUGCUGCGACUGCGCAGAAAUCACACGGGAUUACAUUUCAUCUGUAAGUAGUACAUUUCCAAUUAAUUUGAAUAAAUUAUUGAAUUUAAUGUGUGUGUCGCGAUUGUCAUAGAAAAUCAUGCUUUCAUUUUGUAAGUGUUGCGACAGAAUAACGCAAUAUUUUACCCAACUUUUCUUCAAUAAUUUUUUAUUGAAUACUUAAUAUGAUGAUGAUGAUAAUACUUAUUGUCGUAACUUAAUACCGCGAUCCUUUUUGUAAGUGUUGCCACAAAAUAAUGGCACAUUUUACCCAAUUUUUCAUCAAUUAGAUUUUUUUAUAACACAAUAUACUAUAUUGCACAUAAGGGAAAUUGUAGUGACACGAAGGAAACUUUCUUCAUGAUCUUGAUGGGAAAUUCUUUAUGAUUACUCACAUAGCACAUAGUUAAAGUCAUUUUGUGGGAGCUAAAUAACGUCUAUGCGAGCUGAAUAAUAAUUGAAUAUUUUCAAUUAGAACUUAAAUGAUCAGCAUGACUCCGUUAUAAAAUAUGUAAUUGGGUAAUUUUAGCUUUCCAGCUGACGAGGAAAGGAAGUCGCAAUGGACAAAAAUAAUUCAAAAAGCACGGCUAGAUGAGUUCUGGAAAUCAUCAAAGCGGAGCGUAAUUUGCUCAAUUCACUUUGAGGAGCAAUAUAUUUAUUGCACGAAAAGUGGUUUGAAAAGAUUAAAAAAAGAAGCUUAUCCAAAUAAGAAUUUGGCUCUAGCUCCAGGAAUGAUCGAAACACCCGCGAAAUUAUCGGAUCUUCCAAUACCCAGGAUUGAUACACAGCCAUCAUCUACGAUAUCAAAUUCCGAGACUGAUGACGUUUAUAAUUUGGAUUUAGAUCCAGUAAAA
Molecule: unclassified non-coding RNA, 1041 nt
Filed under: Melitaea cinxia (Glanville fritillary)
Lineage: Eukaryota; Metazoa; Arthropoda; Insecta; Lepidoptera; Nymphalidae
Description: misc RNA ENSMCXG00005020930.1
Source: RNAcentral